UGAGCUCACUAAUUCUGAGCAAAUAAAAGG
Molecule: non-coding RNA, 30 nt
Filed under: Mus musculus (house mouse)
Lineage: Eukaryota; Metazoa; Chordata; Mammalia; Rodentia; Muridae
Source: RNAcentral